CCAUCGGGUAGAGCCGGGCACUCUGGAAGGACUGCCAUCGACAAGAUGGAGGAAGGUGGGGAGUGACGUCAAGUCAUCAUGGCCCUUAUGUCCAGGGCGACACACGUGCUACAAUGGCCGGCACAACGGGAAGCGAGUUCGCGAGGACGAGCGGAUCCCUCAAAGCCGGUCGCAGUUCGGAUUGAAGUCUGCAACUCGACUUCAUGAAGCUGGAAUCGCUAGUAAUCGCAGAUCAGCCAAGCUGCGGUGAAUACGUUCCCGGGCCUU
RNAcentral lists this ribosomal RNA (267 nucleotides) under uncultured Synergistaceae bacterium. Its description in RNAcentral is "partial 16S ribosomal RNA". It matches the Rfam family "Bacterial small subunit ribosomal RNA", at positions 1118 to 1382 of the family's 1533-position model. Lineage: Bacteria; Thermotogati; Synergistota; Synergistia; Synergistales; Synergistaceae. The record is from RNAcentral.